UCAUUCAGUUGGGGACUCGCAGGAGACUGCCGGGGUCAACUCGGAGGAAGGUGGGGAUGAGGUCAAGUCAUCAUGCCCCUUAUGCCCAGGGCCGCAAACACGCUACAAUGGCCGGUACAGAGGGCUGCAAUCCCGCGAGGGUGAGCGAAUCCCACAAAGCCGGUCUCAGUUCGGAUUGGAGUCUGCAACUCGACUCCAUGAAGCCGGAGUUGCUAGUAAUCCUGGAUCAGCACGCCAGGGUGAAUACGUUCCCGGGCCUU
This 260-nucleotide ribosomal RNA is filed under the name uncultured Ilumatobacter sp. RNAcentral's name for it is "partial 16S ribosomal RNA". It matches the Rfam family "Bacterial small subunit ribosomal RNA", at positions 1121 to 1382 of the family's 1533-position model. Lineage: Bacteria; Bacillati; Actinomycetota; Acidimicrobiia; Acidimicrobiales; Ilumatobacteraceae. The record is from RNAcentral.